RNAcentral lists this ribosomal RNA (353 nucleotides) under uncultured bacterium. RNAcentral's name for it is "bacterial SSU rRNA". It matches the Rfam family "Bacterial small subunit ribosomal RNA", at positions 1 to 334 of the family's 1533-position model. The record is from RNAcentral.
CUAUGCGCCUUGCCAGCCCGCUCAGUCAGAGUUUGAUCCUGGCUCAGGAUCAACGCUGGCGGCGUGCCUAAUGCAUGCAAGUCGAGCGCGGACCCUUUCGGGGGUGCUGCGCGGCGGACGGGUGCGUAACACGUGGGCAACCUGCCCUGGGGUGGGGGAUAGCCGUGGGAAACCGCGGGUAAUUCCGCAUACGAGCAUCUCUCGCACGGGGGGAUGCUGAAAGACGCUUCGGCGUCGCCCUGGGAGGGGCCUGCGGCCGAUUAGCUGGACGGUGGGGUCACGCCUACCGUGGCGAUGAUCGGUAGCUGGUCUGAGAGGACGGCCAGCCACACGGGGACUGAGACACGGCCCCG